RNAcentral lists this long non-coding RNA (5541 nucleotides) under Sorghum bicolor (sorghum). Its description in RNAcentral is "long non-coding RNA (SBIC_LNC009723)". The record is from RNAcentral. Lineage: Eukaryota; Viridiplantae; Streptophyta; Magnoliopsida; Poales; Poaceae.
GGCAAUACAAGUACAACAAGGUAACCAAGAUAUUGUCACGACACGAUACCAGUGCUUUGAGCAUAUUGCAGCUUCAUCCUGAAUGGCUAUUUAUUCCAGAAACAAUACUAAUAAUACACUGACUGACGAUACAAUAGCAAGCAUCGAGCUGAGCGGCGACAUUUAUUCUAUUUCUUCUCUCAGACGAAGCUCGAGAAGCAAACUAGACUUGCCAUAUGGAUGCUUGUAGCAGAUUGGCAUCAGAAGCCACCACCCAGGAACGCCGCCUCCGCGGCGGUGGUGCGUGCAGCGUUAUUGUAGAAGUUUGUGAGGAUGUCAUCGCAGCGGUAGGUGACGACGGGGCCAUGGCCGCCGUUGGGAUGAAUCCCUGCACCGACCUUGAUGCAAAUCUUGCACUCCGGGUGGCACCCCUGCACCGAGACAUCCUUGCACUUGCAGUCCGGCGGGAGCUUCCUGUCACAAACACCGCAGUUGUCGCAGCACGGCCACGAUGACCCUGGUGUGCCACUACUACGGAACGCUCUAUCACUGUCGACGACAUCACUGUUAGAAAUGACAAAACCGGUGAUGAGUCUUCACUGCUGGUUCAAAGCUUUGAGAGGCUUCGAAUGAUUGAAAAGGGGAAGAGCCGACAGUGAUGGACAACACCACUGCCGGUUUGUUACUAGGACCUACAGUGUUGCCUUCUUCAUCUUUCACUGCCAGUCCGACACCUGAGCUAGCAAUGAUAUUGGGAUAUCACUGACGGCUCGUGUCGCCAACUGCCAGUGAUAUCCCCUGACAGCACAAAAAGCCUGCAGGCUUCCUCUGCUUCCGCCUCACUCCCAUCACGAGAACAUAGGAGCUUGCACGUGCCAUUCCCUCCAUUGUUACGGCUGCUCUUCCCCAUGACUCUCUCUUUUGGAUUUUGAAGAAUGGCUUGAUCUUUUUACUUUAAGGUUAGUAAGGGCAUCCACUUCAUCGAUUUUGGUGCUUAAUUAUCUUAGUUUGAAGGCUACAUUGCUUGAUUCUCAUUCUAGUUCUUCCUCCAUCCGAGAGAGCAAGCCAUUGGAUUUUGUGCAAAGCUCCCAAGCAAUUUGUGAGGAAUAUAUACAUCAUCUCCAUCAUCCAUAAAAGCUACAGGUUUUUGUCUAUAUAUCAUGACCUCAUUUGAAAUCUUUGGAAAUUUCAUGGUUUGAUCAAGUUGCAUGAUUGUUAGUAAGUGAUGCUCGAAUUAGUUCAUAUUAUUUAGGAGUAGAGUAGAUUAUUUUACAAUUUUGUUAGGAGUUGACAUAUUGUUUGGUGUUCAAGAUCAAGUAUCCAAUUAAUUUUGUUCAUGAUCAAGAUAAUUGACAGUGUUCGGCAAGAAGCUUAGAGUUGUCGAACAAUGGUUGAUACUCAUAUAUCGCCCUUAGAACAAAAAGUAGCCAAAUACAUGCAUCACAUUUAGAGCAAAAGCAGGCGAUGGAGUAAACAUCAUUGCUCUCAUCAUUGUUAUGUCUUUUCAAACUCACAUAUAUGCUUCGCUUAAAAACACAAGAACAUAUGUAAAUAACGAAAUAUGAUCAGCCAUUUAGUAGUAUUUUUUUCUCUCAUAAUAAAUCAGUAAACAGUAGUUUUAUUCAUGACUCUUAUAUUGUCAUGACUCGACACCAUAUAACACAGUGCUAUGAGCAUAGCGUGCAUCAUUUAUGGCUCUUUAUUCCAGAAACAAUACUAAUACACUGACGAUGUACAAGAGCACAAGCAAGCAUGGAGCAUAGCGGCGACAUUUAUUUAUUUUAUUUCUUACAUUAAUUUAUUUUAUUUAAUUUAUAGCUCGAGAGAAGCAAAACUCGACUUGUCGCAUGCAUGCCAUCACAAGCCCCCACCAAGGAACGCCGCCUCCGGCCCCGGCGCCGGCGCCGGCGCCAGCGUGCAGCGCUGCUCGCAGAAGUUUGUGAGGAUAUCAUCGCAGCGGUAUAUGACGACAGGGCCGACCUUGACGCAGUUCUUGCACUCCGGGUGGCACCCAUCCACCGAGACGUCAUCUCGGUCGUCACGCCGAGAAGAGCCAGCGUGACGACGAGUAUCACCUGAGGCCUCAUCUUUGUUGUUACUGUGUCCGAUCCCGGCAACAAGAAGAGGCCACAAUGCCAAUAAGUUUGUUGCUUGGAUUUCUUAACUAACUACGUGUUAACUCGCGGCUAUAUAUGUGUCGAGGCUGGAGGUCUUGUUAUAUAUAAAUAAGCAGGGGAUGGAGGGCGGCUUCCAUCCAACGUAGAAAAUUUAAAGCCCAGUAGUCCCCACACGAAUAAAAUUAUCUCAUUCUUCAUCAUGCCACGUGCGAGGGCGAUGGAUCUGGCCGGUCUAUCGUGGUAUAUGAUGGGAGGAGGUCAAGAUGGAUAAGCGUCUUGUUGCAGCGGCGCGUGCAUUAUUACAGAAACGUGCGCGUUAUUAUUGUCUGCAUGCUCUUCUGCCUUCUACUUGUAGUUUCCUUCAAAAAUUUUCAGACUUUUCGUUAAAUCAAAUCUUGUGUCACAUGUAUAAAAAACAUUAAAUAUAGAUAAAAAAAUAAUUAAUUGUACAGUUUACUAAUAAUUUAGGAGAUAAAUCUUUUAAACCUAAAUAGUUUAUGGUUGAAUAAGUAUUCAUUUUGCAAAAGAAAAAAAAAACUAAAUAAGACAUGGUUGGUUGACCGAGUGCAUGGCGCAGCACAUAGUCAUCUCAGGUGGGAACGGGAGCCCAGCACGGUCAGCAUGCAUGUGCUCAGUCCUCGCCCUGCCACCUGGAACGAAGGCGACAUUCUGUCCUGUUGGCCACCGACUUGAGCUGAAUGUUGACCGUAGAGCCAUGGAGCUGGCGUCUCAACAGUACUGUACGAGUUAGCAGCUAUUUUAUAUAUAAUCAUGUCACUGUCACUUCAUUACGUGUGCGAGUCUCACAUGUAAAUGAUUUUUUAUCUAUAUUUUCUCUUCAUGCCACAAACUAUCUCGUUUUCUAAUCUAAGCGAGAUAGGUGUAGAAAUUAGAGAUCGAUAGUUCCUUCUUUUUUUCAUCUUCAUUCUUUUUUCACAUCUGGAAAGUGCUCACAUGGAUUCUUAUGAGCUAGUUCAGAUGGCACUGUUGGGGCACUCGGAGCAGCACCAGGAGAAGGCAGCAAAGUGUAGCCUUUAGCUCAGGAGAGCAGAGCUAGUAACGGGCGCGAUUGGUAGCUGUGGAGUUACUUUGAGCGUCGACUUGGUGUAUGGAGAUCUCACAAAUUUGUGUCAUUCAAGGGCCAUGGACAUCAAAAAGGAUUUGACAGUUGACAGCACUGUGAGAAAAACUUGCACAGUAAGUGUACAUCUUCCUGAUUUGUUUUCAGCUCACAAUAAAUCAGCAUAAAACUAAAUUUUUAAUGAAAUAAGCAUAAACAUCAAUCAAUUUUCAGCAAGAUGUGGGCAAUACAAGUACAACAAGGUAACCAAGAUAUUGUCAUGACUCGACACGAUACCAGUGCUUUGUGCAUAUAACAAGCAUCAUGAAUGGCUCUUAAUUAUUCCAGAAACAGUACUAAUAAUACACUGACGACGUACAAUAGCAAACAUCAAGCUGAGCGGUGACAUUUAUUCUAUUUCUUCUCUCAGACGAAGCUGAGAGAAGCAAACUCGACUUGCCAUAUGGAUGCUUGCAGCAGAUUGCCAUCAGAAGCCAUCACCCAGGAACGCCGCCGCCUCCGGCGGUGGUGCCGCCGUGCAGCGGUGCUCGCAGAAGUUUGUGAGUAUGUCAUCGCAGCGGUAGGUGACGACGGGGCCGUGGCCGCCGCCGGGACGAAUCCCGGCACCGACCUUGACGCAGUUCUUGCACUCCGGGUGGCACCCCUGCACCGAGACGUCAUUGCACUUGCAAUCCGGCGGGAGCUUUCUGUUGCAAACACCGCAGUUGUCGCAGCACGGCCACGACGAGCCUGUUGUGCCCACACAUGUUAAUUGGUUUAGUCAAAAUGUCUAGCAGUGUGCAUAUGCAUGCAUCCUAUAAUAACUAAUAAGUGAUGUGUGUGUAUAUAUCCUGAUGAUUGAUGAAAAUUAAACUAAACGGCAAAAGGAUUCGUCGUCACCUUCGCCGAGAGGCAGAGUUGCGAGGACGCCGAGAGCAACCAGAGUAACGGCGGCGAGUAUCACCAGAGGCCUCAUCUUUGUUUCUGCUGGCAAGAACAGGCCAGAAGCUUGGAUUUCCUUCCUAUGGGUAUCUCUAAGAGGCUGAAGGUCUUCUUAUAUAGGAGGGGAGGGAAGCUUCCAGCUAGCGUCACAGAUGAUGCCCCGGACUCAGGCCUCCAGACUUCACUACUCACUAGUACUCAGAUGGUUUUUACUAAUGAUAGUAUAAAGCAAUUAAUUUCUGUUAGCAGUUGUUUUGAUACUGCUGAUGUGAGAACAUUUUUAUAGUUUGUAGUUUGCAACCGUCAGUUUUAAAGGAAUUUACACUGGCCGUAGUUUUCAACGGCUAGUGUAGAGGUCUACGUCCAGUGUAAAAGGGAAUUUUCACCGGUGGUCGUUUUCAACCACCGGUGUAAAUAGAAGGGAUCUAACUGAAUGGUCAACUUCAAUCGGAAAAAAAACUUGGCGAAAAAAUAGGUAAGUUUUCUUUCUACACGUGAUCCUACACUACCCAAUAAUCCCAUGGCCAUACUACCUUUCUGCGCACCGCUGGGUGGGGAGAGUUUCUGCACCCAUCAUCUUGGUGCGUAAACCUGUUACCUUAUCAAUAGCUGUACUACAACCUCAUCCACAGCAAGCCAAAGACGAAUGCAUCGACCUUCUCCUGUGGAAUUUGUUCGGAAUUUUCCACACGUACGCAACCACACCGUGUUGGCGUGUUCAGACGCCCCGUGACCUCCCCGGCCGUCUGUGUCUACUCCGUAUGUCCGAAAGAUUAUUACAUCGCGAAAACGUUUUCGCAUUUGGCAGAUGAAUGAGAGAAGUUGUGGUAACAGAGAACAAAAUCAAGGGGCUGUUUAGUUGGUGAAAACUUUUGGUUUUAGCUAAUAUAUAUAUAGUAUUUUUAUUUGUAUUUGAUAAUUAUUGUCAAAUCAUAGACUAACUAGGUUUAAAAGAUUUGUCUCGCAAAUUACAUGUGAACUAUAAAUUAGUUAUUUUUUAUCUAUAUUUAAUUUUCUAUACACGUACGAUAAGAUUCGAUAAACCUUGUAAAAUUUUUCAGGAAUAAACAGACCCCAUGCAUGGACAUAACGCACUAUAGCUGGUAUAAACGAAAACCACAAUGCUUUGAGCACGGCAUGCAUCAUGCGUGGCUCUUUAUUCCAGAAACAGUACUAAUACACUCACGACAUACAAGAGCAAGCAUCUUUCGAGCAGAGAGCGGCGACAUUUAUUUUAUUUCUUCUCUGACGAAGCGAAGCUCGAGAGAAGCAAACUCGACUUGAUUGGCUUGCAUUCUUGCAGCGCAGAUCGACGGCGUCCCGGCCGAUGCCAUCAGAAGACACCACCGACGAACGCCUUAGGCGGUGGCGCCGGCGCCGGCGUGCAGCGGCGCUGGCAGAAGUUUGUAAGAACGUCGGCGCAGGUGUAGGUGACGACGGGGC